Molecule: ribosomal RNA, 386 nt
Filed under: uncultured bacterium
Lineage: Bacteria
Description: bacterial SSU rRNA
Rfam family: Bacterial small subunit ribosomal RNA
Source: RNAcentral
GACGAACGCUGGCGGCGUGCUUAACACAUGCAAGUCGAGCGGUAAGGCCCUUUCGGGGGUACACGAGCGGCGAACGGGUGAGUAACACGUGGGUGACCUGCCCUCAGCUCUGGGAUAAGCCUGGGAAACUGGGUCUAAUACUGGAUAUGACUCCACGGUGCAUGUCGUGGGGUGGAAAGCCUUGUGCGGCUGAGGAUGGGCCCGCGGCCUAUCAGCUUGUUGGUGGGGUGAGGCCUACCAAGGCGACGACGGGUAGCCGGCCUGAGAGGGCGACCGGCCACACUGGGACUGAGACACGGCCCAGACUCCUACGGGAGGCAGCAGUGGGGAAUCUUGCGCAAUGGGCGAAAGCCUGACGCAGCGACGCCGCGUGAGGGAUGACGGCC